UCCCAAACCUGUAGCCGCCGAACGCCUGCGCAGCAGGCAAGAGGGUGGGAGCCCCUGAACGAAUUCCUCCGAUUAGCUGGCAAGAACGCAAGAAAUCAUCACGGAACUUCGGUUCGGCUGAAACUGAUCCGCACCUGAGAGAAGUGCCGCCGCUUCGGCGAGGCUUCCCGGAGACGCGCAGAUCGGCGGGCGCGCGGAGAUGGUCGCCGCGGUAGAGCUCGUCCCCGGCGCGGUAUCACCCGCCUCGCGCUCCUCGUCGGUGGCCGUGGUCUCCGCCGCGGAAUCAAGCUCCUCGGCUGUGGCCGCGGUCUCCGCCUCGCGCUCCUCGUCGGUGGCCGCGGUCUCCGACUCGCGCUCCUCGUUGGUGGCCGCGGUCUCCGCCGCGGCAUCAAGCUCCUCGGGCGUGGCCGCAGUCCCCGCCGCGGCAAGCCCCCGGCGCCCGUAGAGGGAAAGCGGCAGGCCGAUGGCGAUUGUUA
RNAcentral lists this long non-coding RNA (476 nucleotides) under Triticum aestivum (bread wheat). RNAcentral's name for it is "long non-coding RNA (TAES_LNC012932)". Lineage: Eukaryota; Viridiplantae; Streptophyta; Magnoliopsida; Poales; Poaceae. The record is from RNAcentral.